This 253-nucleotide ribosomal RNA is filed under the name uncultured bacterium. RNAcentral's name for it is "partial 16S ribosomal RNA". It matches the Rfam family "Bacterial small subunit ribosomal RNA", at positions 524 to 776 of the family's 1533-position model. The record is from RNAcentral.
UACGGAGGGGGCUAGCGUUGUUCGGAAUUCCUGGGCGUAAAGGGCUCGUAGGCGGCCAACUAAGUCGGACGUGAAAUCCCUCAGCUUAACUGGGGAACUGCGUCCGAUACUGGAUGGCUUGGAUUUGGGAGAGGGAUGCGGAAUUCCAGGUGUAGCGGUGAAAUGCGUAGAUAUCUGGAGGAACACCGGUGGCGAAGGCGGCAUCCUGGACCAAUAUUGACGCUGAGGAGCGAAAGCUAGGGGAGCAAACGGG